Molecule: long non-coding RNA, 1045 nt
Filed under: Helianthus annuus (common sunflower)
Lineage: Eukaryota; Viridiplantae; Streptophyta; Magnoliopsida; Asterales; Asteraceae
Source: RNAcentral
AUUUACACCAUAAACAGUUUAAAACAAGCGUUUGAACUCAGAGAUUCUGGUGCAAAUUGUGCUAUUUUACAUUAUAAAGCAAGAGUUCCUUAUUGUGAGGUACAUCAUACAAACUACAUGGAAGCACAAAGGUUUAAAUGAAGAGUGAGAAAGUUAUUGAUCGAAUCGACAUCAUUUCAUAACGCAAAUGAUCUGUAGCCUAGAGGUUUUUUCGACGAGCGAUGCAGUGUGCAGGAUUUUUAGACGAACGACGCAACCAGCAAAUUUUUUCUGCGAAAAACCACAAAAAACGUAGGUUUUUCAGCGAAAACUGCAACCAGCAACAGCGUCGCUGCAGGUUUUUUCGAUGAACAUUUUCGACGGACGAUGCAGCCUGCAGGUUUUUUUCAGCGAUCUGCAAGUUUUUUUGUCUGGUUUCGGCGAAAAACAACAGCAUGACAGCACAGGAAAGAUGGCAAAGAACCACUACGACUCUUGAAUUGAAUGGUGUUUUAGUUGAAUAUUAAGAGGUUGUAUACUCGCAUUAAACUUCAUAGUCUAAAAAGAUGGUCUUCUCUUACUUCUCCACCGGUGGAGGCACACCAUUCACAUUCAACCCGAGAAACACUGAUGGCAUUUUCGCUGAGUUUUUCGGGUUCUAGGGAAUGGGAGGUGGUGGAAAUGGUCCAGGUGUCAGAACAACGAGGUUUUCGAGCAAUAUGUUUGGCGGUAAUAUGGGUAGAUUUGAUAAUACCUUCAGAGCUAUUUUGGUGGUGGCGGUGGUGGAUCGUUCAGUAGCGGUGGUGGAGUUGGGUCAGGUACUUGGAAAACCGCCCUGAUAGAGACAUUGCAAACAUUAGUGGGUAAGUUGAUUAUCUUCCAUCAAACCAAUAGGGGGCGGUGUGGGGUCAACUUGGUCCUAAAUCGUUUCAAAAUUACGUGUAUAGUUUCAUCAGCGAAUUAUGUUGAUUAUUACGUGUAUAAUUUCAUCAGCGAAAUAUGUUGAUUAUGAUACACCUACUACCCAGUUUUGGGAGUGAAAAACUUUUUAGAACUUAAUUUGAAA